UACAAAUUAAAAGGGACUUGCACAAAAUUGACACUAAAUGCAAGACAAAGUACUCAAUCAACAUGAACAUUAAACAAAACAAAAUGGCACAGAAGAUUGGACAAUGGGAUGUCUACUUGAGUUGAAGAGAAGAAGAAUGGAAUGAUGCACUUGAUGGUGUGAAAGCUAGGGGAAAAAGUGAGAGGUUGCAGUAGUAGCACAAAGAUCCCCUUGAGUGGUGAAAGAGGAAGUAAAGUUUAAUAAUGGUGCUAGGGUGGAAGAAUUAGUGAGAGUGGUGGUGGAGAUUGAGAGUGCAAGAGAACUAAAGAGAGCAUGAGAAUGGAAGAGAGGGAAGUGGAGAAAGUCUUGGUCAUGAGAUAGAGUGUGAGUGGGAGUUUCUAAAAGUGAGUGAGAGUGAUUACGGUUAAAAUAGGCUAAUGGGUUGAAGCACUAUGCACAAAAGCCCAAAAUGUAGUGUGGGUAUACAACGUUGGCGCGUAGGCGCCCCUUAAUAGAGGGUAUUGAGUGCGACUUAUCAAAGGGUAAUUGACAACUUGCGCCUGGGUACCCGUGAGCAAAGAGCGUUGGGGCACCAUAUCAGAAAGCAGUUAUGAAGAAUUUGACCUCUCACCCUUGGACUUUUGGAAUUUGACACUUUUUCACCCUUCAUUCAAUCCAGAACAUUAUGUUUUCACAUACAAACUUAAUCAAAUCCAUAAGGAAUGAAAAUGAAUGCAUGAAUGACAACUUGACUGCACAUUUCU
This 743-nucleotide long non-coding RNA is filed under the name Vigna radiata. RNAcentral's name for it is "long non-coding RNA (VRAD_LNC012425)". Lineage: Eukaryota; Viridiplantae; Streptophyta; Magnoliopsida; Fabales; Fabaceae. The record is from RNAcentral.